UACGUAGGGUGCAAGCGUUGUCCGGAAUUAUUGGGCGUAAAGAGCUCGUAGGCGGUCUGUCGCGUCGGCUGUGAAAACCCGGAGCUCAACUCCGGGCCUGCAGUCGAUACGGGCAAACUGGAGUGUUGCAGGGGAGACUGGAAUUCCUGGUGUAGCGGUGAAAUGCGCAGAUAUCAGGAGGAACACCAAUGGCGAAGGCAGCUCACUGGGACGGUAUUGACGCUGAGACGCGAAAGCGUGGGGAGCAAACAGG
This 253-nucleotide ribosomal RNA is filed under the name uncultured bacterium. RNAcentral describes it as "partial 16S ribosomal RNA". It matches the Rfam family "Bacterial small subunit ribosomal RNA", at positions 524 to 776 of the family's 1533-position model. The record is from RNAcentral.